UCUUUUGGCAGUACGAGGAUAGAACCGGGGACCUUUCGGUUCCGAGCCGAAGAUCCUAACCACUAGACAAAAG
Molecule: transfer RNA, 73 nt
Filed under: Araneus ventricosus
Lineage: Eukaryota; Metazoa; Arthropoda; Arachnida; Araneae; Araneidae
Description: tRNA-Pro
Source: RNAcentral